This is a long non-coding RNA of Solanum pennellii, 587 nucleotides long. RefSeq lists it as uncharacterized. The record is from RefSeq and is a predicted model, not a curated record. Lineage: Eukaryota; Viridiplantae; Streptophyta; Magnoliopsida; Solanales; Solanaceae. The transcript is spliced from 3 exons.
GAUUUUCAUCCUUUCGUAUCCAAGAUUACAUGCAUGGAUCUAGAGGUUUUUUCAAGCUUUAGGGAAGUGUCAUGAUUUCAUUACCUUGUUGGAUGGUCUAAUAAUCAGGUUAGUUCAACGAGCAGGGUCUAAAAUUCAUCCUUUAAUGCUGGAAUGUUGACUAUGUAUAUAUUGUAUAGUUCUUCACCUUUCUAGUUUUGUGUUUGUUAUCCUGCGAUUUCUUAGCAACUGCUGCUCAAGAUGGUGUUAAACUUUGGGACUUGUGCAAAUUGAAGAACUUUAGAACUUUCACUUCUUACGAUGAGAAUACACAAACUCAAUCAGGUGAUGAAGACAUGAGUUCAGAAGUCGAGCAAUAACUUUUGAAGUCAUAAAGCAAGCUGUUAAGUUCGUGAUUAUUUUUCAAUGACUAAUAGAUUAAAAUUUGUAUUUUUCAUUAUGGAUGUACAUACUUUUGCUAAAAGGUUGUGUAAACAAUAUAGUGACUUUAUCUUAGUCGUCUAGUGUCACCAAUAAGAUGUUAUCCAAAUUUUAUACAUAAUUAUAUGUAUUAAACCAUGAUAUUAUUGAAUAUAUUAUUUUUGGAA